Small nuclear RNA from Callithrix jacchus (white-tufted-ear marmoset), 106 nucleotides. Lineage: Eukaryota; Metazoa; Chordata; Mammalia; Primates; Cebidae. The record is from Ensembl.
GUGCUCACUUUGGCAGCACGUAUACUAAAACAAGAGCAAUACAGAGGAGAUUAGCAUGGUACCUGGGACAGGUUGGCAUGAUUAUUCUGAUAUUCUGAUUAUUCUG